CCUACGGGUGGCUGCAGCGACGAAUCUUCCGCAAUGGGCGAAAGCCUGACGGAGCAAUGCCGCGUGUGGGAUGAAGCGGCUACGCCGUGUAAACCACUGUCAGGGGGCAGAAACACUGAUCGCCCCCAGAGGAAGAGACGGCUAACUCUGUGCCAGCAGCCGCGGUAAGACAGAGGUCUCGAGCGUUAAUCGGAUUCAUUGGGCUUAAAGCGUGCGUAGGCGGGCCGCUAAGCACUUCGUGAAAGCCCCCGGCUCAACCGGGGAACUGCGGGGUGGACUGGCGGCCUUGAGGCAGGUAUGGGCGGACAGAACUGUCGGUGGAGCGGUGAAAUGCGUAGAGAUCGACAGGAAUGCCUAUGGUGAAGACGGUCCGCUGGGCCUGUCCUGACGCUCAGGCACGAAAGCGUGGGGAGCAAACAGGAUUAGAUACCCUAGUAGUC
RNAcentral lists this ribosomal RNA (440 nucleotides) under uncultured bacterium. RNAcentral's name for it is "bacterial SSU rRNA". It matches the Rfam family "Bacterial small subunit ribosomal RNA", at positions 338 to 795 of the family's 1533-position model. The record is from RNAcentral.